AUCAGCAGCUCUAUCACCCUGCAACUCAUCUGGCAGCCCACUGAAGCUCAGCAGGAGUGAGCCUGGCCAGUACCUAGAUAGGAGACUCCUGGGAAAGCUAAGGUUGCUGCUGGAA
This 115-nucleotide ribosomal RNA is filed under the name Lepisosteus oculatus (spotted gar). The record is from RNAcentral. Lineage: Eukaryota; Metazoa; Chordata; Actinopteri; Semionotiformes; Lepisosteidae.